Salvelinus sp. IW2-2015 is the source of this 1898-nucleotide non-coding RNA. Lineage: Eukaryota; Metazoa; Chordata; Actinopteri; Salmoniformes; Salmonidae. The record is from RefSeq and is a predicted model, not a curated record.
UCCAUCCCUCUCUUUCUAUCCAUCCCUCUCUUUCUAUCCAUCCCUCUUUCUAUCCAUCUCAUUUUUCUCCCUUGCUAUAUCACACUGUAUCAUCUCUUCCCCUGUCCUCUCUUUCCUCUCUUUCUUUGCCAUCUCACUAUUCCAAUCUCUUGCCAUCUCCUCUCUUCCUCUCAUCUCUUUCUCCUGCUCUCUCUUUCUUCUCUCUCUUUCCCUCUCCUUCUGUUCUUAGCUCCAGCUACUCGACUGUGGCCCUAGAGUUUGAGAAGGCGCAUCAGAUCGCUCCCGUGUUCAACUCGCCCAGGAUGUCGCGGCGGAGCCUGCGGUCUCUAUGGCAAUGACAGACUGGCUGACUUCCCCUCCCAGAACCACAGCAGCGGAGGAUCCAAUCGUACAGAGUCAUGGAUGGUGAGGAGCAGAAAGCUGCAGCAGCAGCAGUCUGCCUCCAGCUCCCAGUCCCUGAACCAGAACCUGUCCCUGAACCAGUCCCUGUCCCUGAACCAGUCCCUGUCCCUGAACCAGUCCAUGUCCCUGAACCAGACGCCACGCAAGACCCUCUCCUUCUCCACUACCAACACUCCCUCUACGGGCUGCACCACUGCCAGCGAUGCCUCCCUGCUGUCCUCCAUCCUGGACCAGUCCAGCCUCCGCCAGCAAUCCACCACCACUACUACCACAGACGGCUACUGGGGUUCAGAUCACGAUACCAAUCUGAAAGGGAGGAGUUCAACGACAGACCACAGCUCAACGGGUGCGAAUGGCGGCGUCAACCCUGUAGCACAGCCACGCCAUGGUCGCCAACGGUUACAUCUGUAAAGACUGUUCCAUACACUGAGAGGAAAGAAGCUCUCACCACAUACUCCUCCUCUUCCUCGUCUCAGGCUGCCUCUGCUGCAGCAGCUGCCGCCACCUUCUCCUCUUCCUCGUCUCAGGCUGCCUCUGCUGCAGCAGCUGCUGCCGCCAUCUCAUCAUCAGCCUCAUCCUCCAGUUUAUACUGCACGGUCAAGAGUCAGAGGAGCAAGACAGGUCUCUUUGUGUCAGUCUCUAACACGUGUGUCCACUACAGCGGGCGAGCGUCCUGGCGUCCCUCUUAGACAGGGCCAGACGGGCUGUCUCCUCCAGCGCGUCCCGUGUCUCUUGGCUCUUUAAGCAGACCACUCUCCACAGGAUGAUGGGCUACAGGGCCAACGGCUACGAAGUCAAAGGUACCUGACCCACCGCCGACCUGAGGUCAGGAGGCAUGGGUCAAAGGUCAUCGAUCAUCAACGCUGACCAGUCCCCACCUCAGUGACCCUCUUUUUCCAGCCCUCUAUUUCCACUGUCCACCGACACGACUUUUCUUUCUCAAGCUCUUGGUCUUUGCAUUUCUGUGUCUGUGAAAACCUAUCUGUGAAGGCUGGGCAUAAGGUUAACUGCAUGUAUAGUAAUGGUUUUUGUAUUAUAAUGUAGAGGAAUGCUUCUCUCCACAGUAUGUACAGAUGCUGUUUUCUACUGUGUAGUUUCACCACAGAUAACUCUAUUUCAGUCUUCAGAGCCACUCUCUCCAGCUCUGUCCAUCUACCUCUGCAUGCUCAUCACUGAAACAGUCCUCCAUACUUCUUAAAGAGACAGAGACAGAACUCCUGUACCACCUCACUACCUGUCACUCAUCUUUGUUUUCCUCCUGUUCUCUCACUCUCUCUCUCUCGCUUUCUCUGUCUGUCUGUCUGUGUGUUUGUGUGUUUUUGCACAAAUCCCGACUACGUGAGGACUGGUUUCCAUAUGGUUAAAAGGGCAAUUUCAACUACAACCUAAAAUUAACAUUUAGUUCCCAAUGAUGUGAAGACUGGUGUCCAUACGUUUAAAAGGGCUCCACGUCAACGUGGAGGUGACGAUCACCACACUGGAAGGAUGAAUUUCGA